GACGAACGCUGGCGGCGUGCUUAACACAUGCAAGUCGAACGGUGAAGGGACCGGUUUUUGCUGGUUCUGGAUGAGUGGCGAACGGGUGAGUAACACGUGAGUAAUCUGCCCCCUUCUUCUGGAUAACCGCAUGGAAGUGUGGCUAAUACGGGAUAUUCUGCGCCUGCUGCAUGGUGGGUGUGGGAAAGAUAUUGUUUCGGUGGGGGAUGGGCUCGCGGCCUAUCAGCUUGUUGGUGGGGUGAUGGCCUACCAAGGCGGUGACGGGUAGCCGGCCUGAGAGGGUGGACGGUCACACUGAGACUGAGACACGGCCCAGACUCCUGCGGGAGGCAGCAGUGGGGAAUAUUGCACAAUGGGCGCAAGCCUGAUGCAGCGACGCCGCGUGAGGGAUGGAGGCCUUCGGGUUGUAAACCUCUUUCGCCAGUGAAGCAGGCCUGUCCCUUGUGUGGGUGGGUUGACGGUAGCUGGAUAAGAAGCGCCGGCUAACUACGUG
RNAcentral lists this ribosomal RNA (493 nucleotides) under uncultured bacterium. RNAcentral describes it as "partial 16S ribosomal RNA". It matches the Rfam family "Bacterial small subunit ribosomal RNA", at positions 28 to 507 of the family's 1533-position model. The record is from RNAcentral.